RNAcentral lists this ribosomal RNA (301 nucleotides) under uncultured bacterium. Its description in RNAcentral is "partial 16S ribosomal RNA". It matches the Rfam family "Bacterial small subunit ribosomal RNA", at positions 509 to 807 of the family's 1533-position model. The record is from RNAcentral.
CAGUAGCCGCGGUAAUACGAAGGGUGCAAGCGUUGCUCGGAAUUACUGGGCGUAAAGCGUGCGUAGGUGGUUGUUUAAGUCUGCUGUGAAAGCCCUGGGCUCAACCUGGGAAUUGCAGUGGAUACUGGGCGACUAGAGUAAGGUAGAGGAUAGUGGAAUUUCCGGUGUAGCAGUGAAAUGCGUAGAGAUCGGAAGGAACAUCUGUGGCGAAAGCGACUAUCUGGGCCAUUACUGACACUGUGGCACGAAAGCGUGGGGAGCAAACAGGAUUAGAUACCCGCGUAGUCCCUGUCUCUUAUAC